UGGGGAAUAUUGCACAAUGGGGGAAACCCUGAUGCAGCAACGCCGCGUGAGUGAAGAAGUAUUUCGGUAUGUAAAGCUCUAUCAGCAGGGAAGAAAAUGACGGUACCUGACUAAGAAGCCCCGGCUAACUACGUGCCAGCAGCCGCGGUAAUACGUAGGGGGCAAGCGUUAUCCGGAUUUACUGGGUGUAAAGGGAGCGUAGGCGGUUUGGCAAGUCAGAAGUGAAAGCCCAAGGCUUAACCAUGGGACUGCUUUUGAAACUGUCAGACUGGAUUGCAGGAGAGGUAAGUGGAAUUCCUGGUGUAGCGGUGAAAUGCGUAGAUAUCAGGAGGAACACCGGUGGCGAAGGCGGCUUACUGGACUGUAAAUGACGCUGAGGCUCGAAAGCGUGGGGAGCAAACAGG
RNAcentral lists this ribosomal RNA (404 nucleotides) under uncultured bacterium. RNAcentral's name for it is "bacterial SSU rRNA". It matches the Rfam family "Bacterial small subunit ribosomal RNA", at positions 355 to 776 of the family's 1533-position model. The record is from RNAcentral.